CCUACGGGCGGCAGCAGUGGGGAAUAUUGCACAAUGGGGGAAACCCUGAUGCAGCGACGCCGCGUGAGUGAAGAAGUCUUUCGGUAUGUAAAGCUCUAUCAGCAGGGAAGAAAAUGACGGUACCUGUUUAAGAAGCCCUGGCUAACUACGUGCCAGCAGCCGCGGUAAUACGCCGGGCGCAAGCGUUAUCCGGAUGUACUGGUGGUAAAGGGAGCGUAGACGGCUGCGCAAGUCUGAAGUGAAAUGCCGGGGCUUAACCCCGGAACUGCAUUGGAUACUGUGCAGCUAGAGUGCAGGAGAGGUGAGUGGAAUUCCUAGUGUAGCGGUGAAAUGCGUAGAUAUUAGGAGGAACACCAGUGGCGAAGGCAGCUUACUGGGCUGUAACUGACGUUGAGGCGCGAAAGCGUGGGGAGCAAACAGGAUUAGAUACCCGUGUAGUC
This 440-nucleotide ribosomal RNA is filed under the name uncultured bacterium. RNAcentral's name for it is "partial 16S ribosomal RNA". It matches the Rfam family "Bacterial small subunit ribosomal RNA", at positions 338 to 795 of the family's 1533-position model. The record is from RNAcentral.